UACAUUCUGAGAUGUUCGAUGGCUCAUUAUUUUGAACCAACACAUUGCAUACGGGAACUUUAUAUCUUAUGGCGGAUGUGGAACCUUACAUAGAUUUGGUAGACAGAUGUUAUAAUGCGAGUACCCACCCAGUACAUACUGGGGUCAAAAUUUGAGGACGGCAUUUUGGAUAUAA
RNAcentral lists this non-coding RNA (175 nucleotides) under Eubacteriales bacterium. RNAcentral describes it as "6S RNA". It matches the Rfam family "6S / SsrS RNA". From Rfam's summary of the family: E. coli 6S RNA was the first non coding RNA to be sequenced, but its function was unknown until recently. It consists of 184 nucleotides that fold into an extended hairpin structure with a large single-stranded internal bulge. The 6S RNA specifically associates with RNA polymerase holoenzyme containing the sigma70 specificity factor. Lineage: Bacteria; Bacillati; Bacillota; Clostridia; Eubacteriales. The record is from RNAcentral.